GUACCCGUAGCUCAACUGGAUAGAGCAUCUGACUACGAAUCAGAAGGUUAGGAGUUCAAGUCUUCUCGGGUACACCA
RNAcentral lists this transfer RNA (77 nucleotides) under Candidatus Hepatincola sp. Av. RNAcentral describes it as "tRNA-Arg". It matches the Rfam family "tRNA". Rfam says of the family: Transfer RNA (tRNA) molecules are approximately 80 nucleotides in length. Their secondary structure includes four short double-helical elements and three loops (D, anti-codon, and T loops). The record is from RNAcentral. RNAcentral also lists the same sequence under 2 other names. Lineage: Bacteria; Pseudomonadati; Pseudomonadota; Alphaproteobacteria; Rhodospirillales; Candidatus Hepatincolaceae.